CUACGGGGUGCAGCAGUGAGGAAUAUUGCACAAUGGGGGGAACCCUGAUGCAGCAGCGCCGCGUGGAGGAUGACGCAUUUCGGUGUGUAAACUCCUUUUAUAUGUCAAGAAAAUGACGGUAGCAUAUGAAUAAGCACCGGCUAACUCCGUGCCAGCAGCCGCGGUAAUACGGAGGGUGCAAGCGUUACUCGGAAUCACUGGGCGUAAAGGACGCGUAGGCGGGUUGGAAAGUCAGGUGUGAAAUCCUACAGCUUAACUGUAGAACUGCACUUGAAACUUCUAAUCUAGAGUAUGGGAGGGGGAGAUGGAAUUAGUGGUGUAGGGGUAAAAUCCGUAGAUAUCACUAGGAAUACCUAAAGCGAAGGCGAUCUCCUGGAACAUUACUGACGUUAAGGCGUGAAAGCGUGGGGAGCAAACAGGAUUAGAUACCCUCGUAGUC
RNAcentral lists this ribosomal RNA (439 nucleotides) under uncultured bacterium. Its description in RNAcentral is "partial 16S ribosomal RNA". It matches the Rfam family "Bacterial small subunit ribosomal RNA", at positions 339 to 795 of the family's 1533-position model. The record is from RNAcentral.